This 118-nucleotide ribosomal RNA is filed under the name uncultured bacterium. RNAcentral's name for it is "partial 16S ribosomal RNA". It matches the Rfam family "Bacterial small subunit ribosomal RNA", at positions 1383 to 1500 of the family's 1533-position model. The record is from RNAcentral.
GUACACACCGCCCGUCACACCAUGGGAGUCGGAAAUGCCCGAAGCCAGUGACCCAACCAUAAGGAGGGAGCUGUCGAAGGUGGAGCCGGUGACUGGGGUGAAGUCGUAACAAGGUAGC